Molecule: transfer RNA, 88 nt
Filed under: Campylobacterales bacterium
Lineage: Bacteria; Pseudomonadati; Campylobacterota; Epsilonproteobacteria; Campylobacterales
Also listed under: 1 other name
Description: tRNA-Ser
Rfam family: tRNA
About the family: Transfer RNA (tRNA) molecules are approximately 80 nucleotides in length. Their secondary structure includes four short double-helical elements and three loops (D, anti-codon, and T loops).
Source: RNAcentral
AGAGAGGUGGCCGAGUGGUCGAAGGCGCACGCCUGGAACGCGUGUAUGGGGCAACUCAUCGAGGGUUCGAAUCCCUUCCUCUCUGCCA